UACGGAGGGGGCUAGCGUUGUUCGGAAUUACUGGGCGUAAAGCGCGCGUAGGCGGACCUGCAAGUCGGGGGUGAAAGCCCGAGGCUCAACCUCGGAACUGCCUUCGAUACUGCGGGUCUCGAGUCCGGGAGAGGUGAGUGGAAUUCCUAGUGUAGAGGUGAAAUUCGUAGAUAUUCGCAAGAACACCAGUGGCGAAGGCGGCUCACUGGCCCGAUACUGACGCUGAGGAGCGAAAGCGUGGGGAGCAAACAGG
RNAcentral lists this ribosomal RNA (253 nucleotides) under uncultured bacterium. Its description in RNAcentral is "partial 16S ribosomal RNA". It matches the Rfam family "Bacterial small subunit ribosomal RNA", at positions 524 to 776 of the family's 1533-position model. The record is from RNAcentral.